This 539-nucleotide ribosomal RNA is filed under the name Diaphus garmani (Garman's lanternfish). RNAcentral's name for it is "partial large subunit ribosomal RNA". It matches the Rfam family "Bacterial large subunit ribosomal RNA", at positions 1915 to 2605 of the family's 2925-position model. Lineage: Eukaryota; Metazoa; Chordata; Actinopteri; Myctophiformes; Myctophidae. The record is from RNAcentral.
ACUAUAUGUUCAACGGCCGCGGUAUUCUGACCGUGCGAAGGUAGCGCAAUCACUUGUCUCUUAAAUGGAGACCUGUAUGAAAGGCAUCACGAGGGCUUAGCUGUCUCCCCUUCAAGGUCAAUGAAAUUGAUCUCCCCGUGCAGAAGCGGGGAUACGCCCGUAAGACGAGAAGACCCUAUGGAGCUUGAGACAUAAGGCGACCCACGUCACAAACCCCUCUAAAAGGAAAUGAACAAAAUGGACUUCGCCGAAAUGUCUUCGGUUGGGGCGACCGCGGGGAAAGACCAAACCCCCACGUGGACCAAGGCCACAAUAGCCUUAAAACCCAGACCCCCUGGUCGAAUCAACAGUAUUUCUGACCACCAAAGAGCCGGCAAUGCCGAUCAACGGACCGAGUUACCCUAGGGAUAACAGCGCAAUCCCCUCCCAGAGCCCUUAUCGACGAGGGGGUUUACGACCUCGAUGUUGGAUCAGGGCAUCCUGAUGGUGCAGCCGCUAUUAAGGGUUCGUUUGUUCAACGAUUAAAGUCCUACGUGAUC